CAAACACUGGGUUUGCAAUAAAAAUAGAAGUUGCAAUGAGUUACAGCAUGGCUGCUUGUGGGAUUGCAGGACGGAUGUGAAUCAAGGAGCAGGGGAUGGGAAAAUGUGGGAGAGUUUUGCUCAGUGUCACAAUCCUGUCAGCCAACAAUGAAAUUGCGGACUCCUCAAGACAACAUCUAUGCCGCUAUUGGCUCACUAAAUCAAGGGAGACAGGCUUUUAACUUGCUAGAAAGAAAUAAACGACUCAAUGGUGAGAUGAAACGAAUUUUCUGGAACCAAGUGAGCAGAUGUGUGUUGGGGGAAGGGAAGAGAGGGGCAAGGUAGGAAAGCAAAGGAGAGAGAGAGACAUGGACAUGGACACCAAGGCUGAGCAGAAACAGGAUGCAUGACGUGAACCCCAGACUCUCUUGAGCCAAGAGAUGAGCCACAGGUGCACUCGGGCAUGAGAGCUGAAGCAGAACUGGAAUGAAGGCAUCUGGAUCGUGUGAGACACCCAAGGCCUCAAGAGUGGAGCCUGAGUCUGUUGAAGGUAAAUUACUUCACUGAUGAGAGAUGCAGUCAUUCUUAGUCACCUUGUGUAGGACCUUUAAUCUUCAGGCUGAUCAAUGAAACCCACUGGAAUUAGGCUCAGAGCAAGGUACUAUCAAUAAUGAAUAAAUG
This is a long non-coding RNA of Alligator sinensis (Chinese alligator), 660 nucleotides long. RefSeq lists it as uncharacterized. Lineage: Eukaryota; Metazoa; Chordata; Crocodylia; Alligatoridae. The transcript is spliced from 3 exons. The record is from RefSeq and is a predicted model, not a curated record.